AUAAGAUAUAUAUCUGGAGGUAAAUUGUUUACUGAGAUGAUAUUUAUUAGAAUAACUACUAGGUUAAAAAUACUUCACAGUUUUUAGCCUUCUGUCACAGAUGAGUAUGUUAUGUUUCCAAAGUUAUAGAGCAUUUGAGUAAGUAAUUUUCUUAUCUUGAAUUAGAUACAAUUUGAUUCCAAAUACAAAGUUCAGGUACAAGAAAUAAAACAUUUUUACUAUUUUUUCAGGUAUUUGAACUUUUUUCUAUAGAUUCCCAAAUGACAAGUGACUUUUCUUUGUUAUUUCUUCUCUUUCUUACCUAUCCAUCUUAACCCCGUUUAAGAACAAUGACAAACUUCAGGAUGAUAGUGAGAUGCUUCCAAAAAAGCUGUUACUGACUGAAUUUAGAUCACUGGUGAUUAAAAACUCUACUUCCAGAAAUCCAUCUGGCAUAAAUGAUGAUUAUGGUCAACUAAAAAAUUUCAAGAAAUUCAGAAAGGUCACAUA
Molecule: small RNA, 489 nt
Filed under: Pan troglodytes (chimpanzee)
Lineage: Eukaryota; Metazoa; Chordata; Mammalia; Primates; Hominidae
Description: retained intron
Source: RNAcentral